Molecule: transfer RNA, 78 nt
Filed under: freshwater metagenome
Description: tRNA-Gln
Source: RNAcentral
GUGUCUGUUGGGUUCUAAGGCAUUUAGUGAUCUGAUUUUGGAUCAGAAGGUUGGGGGUUCGAGUCCCUCCAAGCGCAC